UUCUAUAUUCUGCCAAUGGGAAAGUCACAACGUUGAGUAGGGCUCACAAGAACAGAGCCAAGAGAACGUAUAUAUGCUAUGAAAGGGUUUCGUUAGAAUGACUGACGUGGUGGUUGGCCAAUAAGAGCCUUCUGCAAGCUAGAGAGGCAUAGAGUCCUCUAUCUGCUCAGUUCACAAAGCUGGAUGCCUCUGUGGUCUCAGGCUGGCUCUGUAGGCCUGCUGGGUUUCUGCAAAACCUUUGCUCUUUAGUUCAGGUUGCAAAGCUUGAGAAACUGCAGCAGGAACAAGGUUCGAUAGUCAGGAGCAGGGGGGGAAGGGAAGCUUAGCUCUCCUCAGGUUUCUUUUAUAUCUGAAUGCCUCAUCAGGAGGUGCUGCCCAUGCUGGGGGUGGCAACGGGGUUCUGGGGAGCAGUCUUCUUCAUGAAAAUGCCUUUGGGGACCCUGUGGUGCUUUGUAUAGGAAUGGGCCCCAUAGACUCGUGUGUUUGAAUGCUUGGCACCAUUAGGAGGUGUGGUCUUGUUGGAGUAGGUGUGGUCUUGUUGGAGUAGGUGUGGUCUUGUUGGAGUAGGUGUGGUCUUGUUGGAAGAAGUGUGUCACUGUGGGGCUGGGCUUUGAGGUCUCAUAACCUCAGGUGAUAUAUGCCCGGUGUGAGCGAGAUACAAUCAUCUUCUGCUGCCUGCAGAUGAAGAUGUAGAACUCUCAGCUGCUUCCCCAGCUCCAUGUAUGCCUGCAUGCUGCCAUGCUUCUCACCAUGAUGAGAACAGGCUGAACCUCUGACACUGUAAACCAGCCCCAGUUAAAUGUUUGGAUCUUUACUUAGUGGGUUUGUUACCAGCAGUGCAAUGGCUUCAGACUUCCUGGAAGUAUUUUGUGAACACUAUAGGAGGAAGCAGCGAAUUGUUUCACUUUUAUCUACAUUUUUUUGAAACUGGAAUGUUUGCUACAGGAAAGGGAAUAUGCAAAUGUGAACUGGGGGGGUUGGACUUAGAGGAGUCCCUCCUAGAGGCACGGUGUCAAAAAAAAACGUAUGCAUGAAUUUUCUCUUACUGGCUGAAAGAAUCCAGACGCAGCAGAUACAUAUACAACACACUUCUGUAACCGAGCCUUAGAAAUCAUUUCAGAAGAGGUGAGGUUGUGUCUCUUAGAAAUAUCCAAACGACACCCAUAAAGUCUCACCAACACGGCUGCCUCAACACAAGCUGAGCAAGGAUGGCUCCAGUAGACAUGCUAACAUGGAAGGGGGAAAUCUCAUGGGACCUCAGUCCUAGGUGAAGAACUACAGGCAACCAAGGAAUGCUGAGAGCAGCAGCAGUAGUUCUUCCCCAGGGAAGAGACCCAGAUUGGCUACCCAAUGCCAAGUGAUCAGUCCUGAUUCAUAUACAACAAGAAACUUCAUAUUGACUGGGCACAGUGUGUUUAUGUAU
This 1423-nucleotide long non-coding RNA is filed under the name Mus musculus (house mouse). RNAcentral's name for it is "long non-coding RNA chr19:38431420-38432843". Lineage: Eukaryota; Metazoa; Chordata; Mammalia; Rodentia; Muridae. The record is from RNAcentral.